This 402-nucleotide ribosomal RNA is filed under the name uncultured bacterium. RNAcentral describes it as "bacterial SSU rRNA". It matches the Rfam family "Bacterial small subunit ribosomal RNA", at positions 355 to 774 of the family's 1533-position model. The record is from RNAcentral.
UCGGGAAUUUUGGGCAAUGGGCGAAAGCCUGACCCAGCAACGCCGCGUGAGGGAUGAAGUAUUUCGGUAUGUAAACCUCGAAAGAAUGGGAAGAAUAAAUGACGGUACCAUUUAUAAGCUCCGGCUAACUACGUGCCAGCAGCCGCGGUAAUACGUAGGGAGCAAGCGCUGUUCGGAUUUACUGGGCGUAAAGGGCGCGUAGGCGGCGCGGUAAGUCACUUGUGAAAUCUCUGAGCUUAACUCAGAACGGCCAAGUGAUACUGCUGUGCUAGAGUGCGGAAGAGGCAACCGGAAUUCUUGGUGUAGCUGUGAAAUGCGUAGAUAUCAAGAUGAACACCUGAGGCGAAGGCGGGUUGCUGGGCCGACACUGACGCUGAUGCGCGAAAGCCAGGGGAGCAAACG